RNAcentral lists this ribosomal RNA (426 nucleotides) under uncultured bacterium. RNAcentral's name for it is "bacterial SSU rRNA". It matches the Rfam family "Bacterial small subunit ribosomal RNA", at positions 357 to 774 of the family's 1533-position model. The record is from RNAcentral.
GGGAAUAUUGCACAAUGGGGGAAACCCUGAUGCAGCAAUGCCACGUGAGUGAGGAAGGCCCUCGGGUUGUAAAGCUCUGUCCUAUAGGAAGAAUGGCAUUAUGGUUAAUACCCAUAGUGUUUGACGGUACUAUAGAAGAAAGCACCGGCUAACUCCGUGCCAGCAGCCGCGGUAAUACGGAGGGUGCAAGCGUUGUUCGGAUUUACUGGGCGUAAAGCGCGCGCAGGCGGACUAGCAAGUCAGAUGUGAAAUCUCGGGGCUCAACCCCGAAACUGCGUCUGAAACUGUUAGUCUUGAGUAUCAGAGGGGGCAGGGGAAUUUCACGUGUAGGGGUAAAAUCCGUAGAGAUGUGAAGGAACACCGGUGGCGAAGGCGCCUGCCUGGAUGAUUACUGACGCUGAGGCGCGAAAGCGUGGGGAGCAAACA